Molecule: small nucleolar RNA, 107 nt
Filed under: Cajanus cajan (pigeon pea)
Lineage: Eukaryota; Viridiplantae; Streptophyta; Magnoliopsida; Fabales; Fabaceae
Description: Plant small nucleolar RNA R71
Rfam family: Plant small nucleolar RNA R71
About the family: R71 is a member of the C/D box family of snoRNAs containing the C (UGAUGA) and D (CUGA) box motifs. Multiple nearly identical copies of this snoRNA have been identified in Arabidopsis, and it is thought to function as a 2'-O-ribose methylation guide for 18S ribosomal RNA.
Source: Rfam by way of RNAcentral
AACCCAUGAUUUGGGCAUUUUCUCAAUAAAAACUUAUAUCUCUCCCAAGCUUCACACAAAGGCUCAUCAAUGCCUUGAGAGAAAGUUGCAAUUGCUGAUUUGGUGCU